Molecule: microRNA precursor, 77 nt
Filed under: Pan troglodytes (chimpanzee)
Lineage: Eukaryota; Metazoa; Chordata; Mammalia; Primates; Hominidae
Description: mir-1285 microRNA precursor family
Rfam family: mir-1285 microRNA precursor family
Source: Rfam by way of RNAcentral
AUCGGGUCUCACUGUGUUGCUCAAGCUGGUCUUGAAUUCCUGAUAAGACCAGCUUGAGCAACACAGUGAGACCCGAU